AGUGAACGCUGGCGGUAGGCCUAACACAUGCAAGUCGAACGGCAGCACAGUAAGAGCUUGCUCUUACGGGUGGCGAGUGGCGGACGGGUGAGGAAUACAUCGGAAUCUACUUUUUCGUGGGGGAUAACGUAGGGAAACUUACGCUAAUACCGCAUACGACCUACGGGUGAAAGCAGGGGAUCUUCGGACCUUGCGCGAUUGAAUGAGCCGAUGUCGGAUUAGCUAGUUGGCGGGGUAAAGGCCCACCAAGGCGACGAUCCGUAGCUGGUCUGAGAGGAUGAUCAGCCACACUGGAACUGAGACACGGUACAGACUCAUACGGGAGGCAGCAGUGGGGAAUAUUGGACAAUGGGCGCAAGCCUGAUCCAGCCAUACCGCGUGGGUGAAGAAGGCCUUCGGGUUGUAAAGCCCUUUUGUUGGGAAAGAAAAGCAGCAGGUUAAGACCCCGCUGUUCUGACGGUACCCAAAGAAUAAGCACCGGCUAACUGCGU
This 491-nucleotide ribosomal RNA is filed under the name uncultured bacterium. RNAcentral's name for it is "partial 16S ribosomal RNA". It matches the Rfam family "Bacterial small subunit ribosomal RNA", at positions 29 to 506 of the family's 1533-position model. The record is from RNAcentral.